GGUUAAGCGACCAAGCGUACACGGUGGAUGCCCUGGCAGUCAGAGGCGAUGAAGGACGUGCUAAUCUGCGAAAAGCGCCGGUAAGGUGAUAUGAACCGUUAUAACCGGCGAUGUCCGAAUGGGGAAACCCAGUGUGACUCGUCACACUAUCAUUAACUGAAUCCAUAGGUUAAUGAGGCGAACCGGGGGAACUGAAACAUCUAAGUACCCCGAGGAAAAGAAAUCAACCGAGAUUCCCCCAGUAGCGGCGAGCGAACGGGGAGGAGCCCAGAGCCUGAAUCAGCAUGUGUGUUAGUGGAAGCGUCUGGAAAGGCGCGCGAUACAGGGUGAGAGCCCCGUACACAAAAGCGCAUAUGCUGUGAGCUCGAUGAGUAGGGCGGGACACGUGGUAUCCUGUCUGAAUAUGGGGGGACCAUCCUCCAAGGCUAAAUACUCCUGACUGACCGAUAGUGAACCAGUACCGUGAGGGAAAGGCGAAAAGAACCCCGGCGAGGGGAGUGAAACAGAACCUGAAACCGUGUACGUACAAGCAGUGGGAGCCCCACCACUAAGCCAGUGGUGAACUCCACAUACGCAUCCUUUGCGGAAGAUGCGGUUAACGGAGCGAAAGCGACGUUCAACCUCAGAAGAAGCAGAGGGGGCUUAGUGGUGGGGUGACUGCGUACCUUUUGUAUAAUGGGUCAGCGACUUAUAUUCUGUAGCAAGGUUAACCGCAUAGGGGAGCCGAAGGGAAACCGAGUCUUAAUUGGGCGUUAAGUUGCAGGGUAUAGACCCGAAACCCGGUGAUCUAGCCAUGGGCAGGUUGAAGGUUGGGUAACACUAACUGGAGGACCGAACCGACUAAUGUUGAAAAAUUAGCGGAUGACCUGUGGCUGGGGGUGAAAGGCCAAUCAAACCGGGAGAUAGCUGGUUCUCCCCGAAAGCUAUUUAGGUAGCGCCUCGUGAACUCAUCUCCGGGGGUAGAGCACUGUUUCGGCUAGGGGGCCAUCCCGGCUUACCAACCCGAUGCAAACUGCGAAUACCGGAGAAUGUUAUCACGGGAGACACACGGCGGGUGCUAACGUCCGUCGUGAAGAGGGAAACAACCCAGACCGCCAGCUAAGGUCCCAAAGUCAUGGUUAAGUGGGAAACGAUGUGGGAAGGCCCAGACAGCCAGGAUGUUGGCUUAGAAGCAGCCAUCAUUUAAAGAAAGCGUAAUAGCUCACUGGUCGAGUCGGCCUGCGCGGAAGAUGUAACGGGGCUAAACCAUGCACCGAAGCUGCGGCAGCGACACUGUGUGUUGUUGGGUAGGGGAGCGUUCUGUAAGCCGUUGAAGGUGUGUCGUGAGGCAUGCUGGAGGUAUCAGAAGUGCGAAUGCUGACAUAAGUAACGAUAAAGCGGGUGAAAAGCCCGCUCGCCGGAAGACCAAGGGUUCCUGUCCAACGUUAAUCGGGGCAGGGUGAGUCGACCCCUAAGGCGAGGCCGAAAGGCGUAGUCGAUGGGAAACGGGUUAAUAUUCCCGUACUUGGUGUUACUGCGAAGGGGGGACGGAGAAGGCUAUGUUGGCCGGGCGACGGUAGUCCCGGUUUAAGCGUGUAGGUGUGUGUUCCAGGUAAAUCCGGUUCACUUUAACACUGAGGCGUGAUGACGAGGCACCACGGUGCUGAAGCAACAAAUGCCCUGCUUCCAGGAAAAGCCUCUAAGCAUCAGGUAACAUCAAAUCGUACCCCAAACCGACACAGGUGGUCAGGUAGAGAAUACCAAGGCGCUUGAGAGAACUCGGGUGAAGGAACUAGGCAAAAUGGUGCCGUAACUUCGGGAGAAGGCACGCUGACACGUAGGUGAAGUGAUUUACUCAUGGAGCUGAAGUCAGUCGAAGAUACCAGCUGGCUGCAACUGUUUAUUAAAAACACAGCACUGUGCAAACACGAAAGUGGACGUAUACGGUGUGACGCCUGCCCGGUGCCGGAAGGUUAAUUGAUGGGGUCAGCGCAAGCGAAGCUCCUGAUCGAAGCCCCGGUAAACGGCGGCCGUAACUAUAACGGUCCUAAGGUAGCGAAAUUCCUUGUCGGGUAAGUUCCGACCUGCACGAAUGGCGUAAUGAUGGCCAGGCUGUCUCCACCCGAGACUCAGUGAAAUUGAACUCGCUGUGAAGAUGCAGUGUACCCGCGGCAAGACGGAAAGACCCCGUGAACCUUUACUAUAGCUUGACACUGAACAUUGAGCCUUGAUGUGUAGGAUAGGUGGGAGGCUUUGAAGCGUGGACGCCAGUCUGCGUGGAGCCGACCUUGAAAUACCACCCUUUAAUGUUUGAUGUUCUAACGUGGACCCGUAAUCCGGGUUGCGGACAGUGUCUGGUGGGUAGUUUGACUGGGGCGGUCUCCUCCUAAAGAGUAACGGAGGAGCACGAAGGUUGGCUAAUCCUGGUCGGACAUCAGGAGGUUAGUGCAAUGGCAUAAGCCAGCUUGACUGCGAGCGUGACGGCGCGAGCAGGUGCGAAAGCAGGUCAUAGUGAUCCGGUGGUUCUGAAUGGAAGGGCCAUCGCUCAACGGAUAAAAGGUACUCCGGGGAUAACAGGCUGAUACCGCCCAAGAGUUCAUAUCGACGGCGGUGUUUGGCACCUCGAUGUCGGCUCAUCACAUCCUGGGGCUGAAGUAGGUCCCAAGGGUAUGGCUGUUCGCCAUUUAAAGUGGUACGCGAGCUGGGUUUAGAACGUCGUGAGACAGUUCGGUCCCUAUCUGCCGUGGGCGCUGGAGAAUUGAGGGGGGCUGCUCCUAGUACGAGAGGACCGGAGUGGACGCAUCACUGGUGUUCGGGUUGUCAUGCCAAUGGCACUGCCCGGUAGCUAAAUGCGGAAAAGAUAAGUGCUGAAAGCAUCUAAGCACGAAACUUGCCCCGAGAUGAGUUCUCCCUGAGACCUUGAGUCUCCUGAAGGAACGUUAAAGACGAUGACGUUGAUAGGCCGGGUGUGUAAGCGCAGCGAUGCGUUGAGCUAACCGGUACUAAUGAACCGUGAGGCUUAACCUU
This 3006-nucleotide ribosomal RNA is filed under the name Salmonella enterica subsp. diarizonae. RNAcentral describes it as "23S ribosomal RNA". It matches the Rfam family "Bacterial large subunit ribosomal RNA". The record is from RNAcentral. Lineage: Bacteria; Pseudomonadati; Pseudomonadota; Gammaproteobacteria; Enterobacterales; Enterobacteriaceae.